CCUACGGGAGGCAGCAGUGGGGAAUAUUGCGCAAUGGGCGAGAGUCUGAACCAGCCAAGUAGCGUGAAGGAUGACUGCCCUAUGGGUUGUAAACUUCUUUUAUAAAGGAAUAAAACGAGGCACGUGUGCCUUUUUGCAUGUACUUUAUGAAUAAGGAUCGGCUAACUCCGUGCCAGCAGCCGCGGUAAUACGGAGGAUCCGAGCGUUAUCCGGAGUGAUUGGGUUUAAAGGGAGGGUAGACUGUGAGGUAAGUCAGCGGUGAAAUGCCCCCGGUCAACGGGGUGAAGUGCCAUUGAUACUGCCUUGCUGGAGUGCGGAUGCCGUGGGAGGAAUGUGUGGUGUAGCGGUGAAAUGCAUAGAUAUCACACAGAACACCGAUUGCGAAGGCAUCUCACGAAUCCGCGAUUGACGCUGAUGCACGAAAGCGUGGGUAUCAAACAGGAUUAGAUACCCGUGUAGUC
Molecule: ribosomal RNA, 461 nt
Filed under: uncultured bacterium
Lineage: Bacteria
Description: partial 16S ribosomal RNA
Rfam family: Bacterial small subunit ribosomal RNA
Source: RNAcentral